GGCUGUGAAUUGGUUUAAUCUCAGCUGGCAACUGUGAGCAGUUAAUAAAUUCUCUCACAGUGGUAUCUGGGAUUAUGCUAAACGCAGCAAU
This 91-nucleotide microRNA precursor is filed under the name Python bivittatus (Burmese python). RNAcentral describes it as "microRNA pbv-mir-216a precursor". Its record names the gene pbv-mir-216a. The stretch from base 8 to 83 matches the Rfam family "mir-216 microRNA precursor family". The record is from miRBase by way of RNAcentral. Lineage: Eukaryota; Metazoa; Chordata; Lepidosauria; Squamata; Pythonidae.